RNAcentral lists this long non-coding RNA (314 nucleotides) under Lathyrus oleraceus (garden pea). RNAcentral describes it as "Pisum sativum (pea) long non-coding RNA (PSAT_LNC031968)". The record is from RNAcentral. Lineage: Eukaryota; Viridiplantae; Streptophyta; Magnoliopsida; Fabales; Fabaceae.
AAUCGUCAUGAUAUUGGGGUUGAGUUUGUGGUAUGUAGUGUUGAUUUGGUUGGGGGGUGGACAUGUGUUGUGGUUGUUGUUGUUGGUAAUACGGUGGUGGUGGUUGUUGUUGGUAAUAUGGUGGUGGUUGUUGUUGUUGGUAAUAUUGUGGUGCUUGUUGUUGUUGGGAAUAUUGUGGUGGUUGUUGUUGUUGGAAAUAUGGAGGUGGUGGUGGUUGUUGUUGGUAAUAUGGUGGUGGUUGUUGUUGUUGGUAAUAUUGUGGUGCUUGUUGUUGUUGGGAAUAUUGUGGUGGUUGUUGUUGUUGGAAAUAUGGU